GAAAACAGAGAAGGGAAAGAAGAAAAGAAAGAAAAGAGAGAAAUAGGGUUUUUAAAGUUUGGGGUUUAAUUUGGUAAGUCAAUUUAGUUCAUUUUCUUAUAAUCUUGAUGUUUUUGGAGUUUUAGAGUUGAAUAUUAUUGAAUUUAAGUUGAAAUUUUGAAAAUUAGUAUAUUUUUUAGCAGGGUUCAUGUUGAAUAAAUGAUUGAAUUAGGGGUUUAUUUGAUAGAAUUAUUGAUUAGAAUUGAUUAAAGGAUUAAAUUGUAAACUAGGCUAUAAGUUUUGUUUUGUAGGGACUAAAUUGAAAGAAAUUCGAAAUUAUGAAAUUAUGAUGAAAAUUUGAUAGUUAAAUUUAAGUUUAUAUGGAAUUUGGAUAGGAAUAAGAUAUAAAUUGUAAUGGGAAAAUAGAUGAAUUUAGUUAGGACUAAAAUUAGAAUUUAAGUGAAAGUUAAAUAGAAAUUUAGUAUUUAAUGUAAAUUAGUAAUAUAUUAAUGAUUGUAAAUUAUUUUAAUUUUCGUAGCUAACAAAGAACCUAAGACAUCAGCACCGAAAGGAAAGGAAAAAGUUAUCGAGGAGUAAUCGCGAAAUUUCGGUUUGUAUUACUAUAAUUCAAGUUAUUCAUUAUUAAAUAUUAAUUUUAAUUUAUUUAAUUUAUGGUAAGCAAAUAUUGAGGUAAGAAACUUUAUUGAAUUGAAUUUUGAUUAGUGAAUGAAAAAGUGAAUUUGAUAUUAAAAGUAAAAUUUGAAAUGAAAGUGAGUUUGAAUUGAGAAUUGGAAACCCUAUUAAUUAGUCGGACUGAGUCGGAUAUAAUUGGCAUGCCAUAGGAUCGGAAGAGUUCAGGGAUAUUUUGACCUCGAGUCGAUGAGACACUGGGUGUCACUAUUUUACUUCGGAUAGAUUCGAUGAGAUACUGGGUAUCACUUUACUUCGGCUAGGCCGAUGAGAUACUGGGUGUCAACUUUGCUUCGAACUAUCCGAUGAGGCACUGGGUGCCAAUCUGGUGUGUUUGGUUGGAUCCAUAUAUCCGCCAAAGUCCGAGUCUGUUAAUAGGGGUAAUUAAUUGAAAAGAACCGUGGUUGUGGAAUAUAAUUUGAAAAUGUGAAUAGAAAGCAUUAACUAAAUGUUCAUGAGAUAAAUAAUGGCUCAAUGUGAUAGUAUAUGAUAUUAACUAAUGAAAGCCAAAUUGAAUUGUAGAUAUUGAGAAAUGAAAGUUAAAUAUGAAUUAGUUUGGUAAACUUUUUUUUUAAAGUUAAAUGAUUUAAUGAUUUAAUGAUUUAAUUUACUUGGUUUUUAUAUUACAAUUUGAAUUAUAGUAAUACUACUGAGUAUGAAAUACUCAGUGUACGGUUGUUCCUGUGCGUAGGUUAGUAGAAAUUAAGGUUCCGGCUCAGCAUUCAGGGUGAUCCCGACUCCAGUAUAAAAUUUGGUGAUGUAAUCUUUCUUUUGGUAAACUGGCAUGUACUUAAGUGUUAUAUUGGUCACUUGAAAGUGUCUUCUGUUUUUGGUUGAAAAUGAAUAUUUUGAAACUUGGUGUAAUGAAAUGGAA
RNAcentral lists this long non-coding RNA (1543 nucleotides) under Gossypium raimondii (Peruvian cotton). RNAcentral describes it as "long non-coding RNA (GRAI_LNC003306)". The record is from RNAcentral. Lineage: Eukaryota; Viridiplantae; Streptophyta; Magnoliopsida; Malvales; Malvaceae.